RNAcentral lists this ribosomal RNA (204 nucleotides) under uncultured bacterium. RNAcentral's name for it is "partial 16S ribosomal RNA". It matches the Rfam family "Bacterial small subunit ribosomal RNA", at positions 570 to 773 of the family's 1533-position model. The record is from RNAcentral.
CGUAGGUGGGGAUGUAAGUUAGAUGUGAAAUACCGUUUGCUCAACAACGGCCGUGCAUCUAAAACUGCAUUUCUUGAGGGAUAGCGGAGAAAACGGAAUUCCACGUGUAGCGGUGAAAUGCGUAGAUAUGUGGAAGAACACCUGUGGCGAAAGCGGUUUUUCUAGCUCAACCCUGACACUGAGGCACGAAAGAAGGGAGCAAAC